RNAcentral lists this unclassified non-coding RNA (345 nucleotides) under fungal sp. RNAcentral describes it as "partial internal transcribed spacer region". The stretch from base 1 to 46 matches the Rfam family "Eukaryotic small subunit ribosomal RNA", at positions 1786 to 1831 of the family's 1831-position model. The record is from RNAcentral. Lineage: Eukaryota; Fungi.
AAGUCGUAAAAAGGUUUGCGUAGGUGAACCUGCGGAAGGAUCAUUAACACGUAUCCAACUAAACCCCGUGAACCUUCAUUGUAGUCGUGCCCUCUGUUGGAAAUACGCAAUCCCUGGUAAAUCAUUGCCGAACAGUUUUGAUUCAGAGACUUCGUUGUUCUGGCUAAGAAGACGCCUGCUUGUUAGUGGCUGAAAAUGUCACUAGCGCUGUAAGGAUGGCGCAGUAACGAUCGCUAGAGGCCGACACGGCGGCGACGGGACCGCUGGGUUUAACCCCUCUGAUCACCUUGCGAAAAUGGGCCACCAAACUUCGAACAACUGUUAACAAUAGAUAUCCUGGUUCUC